This 517-nucleotide ribosomal RNA is filed under the name Pseudoeurycea smithi (Smith's false brook salamander). RNAcentral's name for it is "partial 16S ribosomal RNA". It matches the Rfam family "Bacterial large subunit ribosomal RNA", at positions 1819 to 2597 of the family's 2925-position model. The record is from RNAcentral. Lineage: Eukaryota; Metazoa; Chordata; Amphibia; Caudata; Plethodontidae.
CGCCUUUUGAAUUAUAAAUAUAAAAGGUCCUGCCUGCCCAGUGACACUUGUUUCAACGGCCGCGGUAUCAUGACCGUGCAAAGGUAGCGUAAUCACUUGUCUUUUAAAUAAAGACCAGUAUGAAUGGCAAGACGAAAGCCUAACUGUCUCCCUAAGCUAAUCAAUGAAAUUGAUCUUCCCGUGCAGAAGCGGGAAUAAUAAUAUAAGACGAGAAGACCCUGUGGAGCUUCAAAAUUAAGCUAACAGAUAUAAUGCCUUAGCAUACAGUUUUAGGUUGGGGCGACCAUGAGGUAAAAUAAAACCCUCAAGACGAAAACUAAGAAGGACACUUCAAAUAAAUAAUAAUAUAGUAAUUGACCCAAUAAUUGAUCAACGAACCAAGUUACCCCAGGGAUAACAGCGCAAUCUACUCAAAGAGCCCUUAUCGACGAGCAGGUUUACGACCUCGAUGUUGGAUCAGGACUCCCAAAUAAUGUAACAAUUAUUAAAGGUUCGUUUGUUCAACGAUUAAAGUCCU